GGAGAGGUGUCCGAGUGGUCGAAGGAGCACGCCUGGAGAGCGUGUAGGCGUUUACGCGCCUCCUGGGUUCGAAUCCCAGUCUCUCCGCCA
This 90-nucleotide transfer RNA is filed under the name Candidatus Eiseniibacteriota bacterium. Its description in RNAcentral is "tRNA-Ser". It matches the Rfam family "tRNA". Rfam says of the family: Transfer RNA (tRNA) molecules are approximately 80 nucleotides in length. The record is from RNAcentral. Lineage: Bacteria; Candidatus Eiseniibacteriota.